RNAcentral lists this ribosomal RNA (541 nucleotides) under uncultured Bacillota bacterium. RNAcentral describes it as "bacterial SSU rRNA". It matches the Rfam family "Bacterial small subunit ribosomal RNA", at positions 1 to 562 of the family's 1533-position model. Lineage: Bacteria; Bacillati; Bacillota. The record is from RNAcentral.
GCCCUUAGAGUUGUAUCCUGGCUCAGGACGAACGCUGGCGGCGUGCCUAACACAUGCAAGUCGAGCGGGGUGAGUUCUUCGGAACGAUCCUAGCGGCGGACGGGUGAGUAACACGUGGGUAGCCUGCCUCAAAGUGGGGGAUAGCCUUUCGAAAGGAAGAUUAAUACCGCAUAACCCAUAGCUUCCGCAUGGAAGCAAUGGUAAAGAUUUAUCGCUUUGAGAUGGACCCGCGGCGCAUUAGCUAGUUGGUGAGGUAACGGCUCACCAAGGCCACGAUGCGUAGCCGACCUGAGAGGGUGAUCGGCCACAUUGGAACUGAGACACGGUCCAGACUCCUACGGGAGGCAGCAGUGGGGAAUAUUGCACAAUGGGCGCAAGCCUGAUGCAGCAACGCCGCGUGAGUGAUGAAGGUCUUCGGAUUGUAAAGCUCUGUCUUUGGGGACGAUAAUGACGGUACCCAAGGAGGAAGCCACGGCUAACUACGUGCCAGCAGCCGCGGUAAUACGUAGGUGGCAAGCGUUGUCCGGAUUUACUGGGCGUA